Molecule: long non-coding RNA, 1060 nt
Filed under: Chrysolophus pictus (golden pheasant)
Lineage: Eukaryota; Metazoa; Chordata; Aves; Galliformes; Phasianidae
Description: lncRNA (ENSCPIG00010008915.1)
Source: RNAcentral
CUGGAGAGGAUUUCCAGACUCAUCAGGGGAAGGCCAGCAUGCAGACGGCUGUGACACAGGGACACCACACUAGUAAGAAGCGGGUGCUCCCAUCUCAUCACACAGCAGCUGGUGGGGAGUGGGCCUGGGACAAAGCAGCUAAACACAAGACCUGGCCACAUUUUGGGGGCAGUCCGACAGGAGACAGAGCUGCAGGCCUUCUGGAGCACACAGAGCUCCUUUCUGUGCUUUGAAGAAAGCUUGCCAGCUUCCCAUGUGUGCAGGAUAUGUGUCCUCCUCCUUUUUAUCAUUCCUCGCUGCAAAUGCCCUGUCAGUGCAAUGCGCAUUUCAACAGUGAGUCUCUCAUAGCAAUCCUUAUCUUUAAUUUCCUUCCGCUAUAGUCUAUUUUAUGGAGCUUUUCCUUUGCUGGCAUUUUUUUUUUUUUUUCCCAUUCUCAUUUCAGCUGCGAUGGCCAGAUCAGGAUCAAAAUUUCUCACACAUUGAAGGGAGUGUCUGGAGGCAGAAAAUGUCAUGCAGAUCAAAGUAGAGGUGCAGGUCAGGGCAAUAUGUGUGCCUGCCCUUCACACCUACUUUAGCCAGAUGCCUUUUCAGUUUUGUGCUCCAUGAUAAAAUCAGUUUCUUUUCUUAAUCAUCUAUUUUAAUCACGCCUUAAUAGCAAAGGGCUUGAUCUAAAACCCAAGAUAGGAAUCUUCCCUUCACAUUUAGCAUGACCAAAGGGAGCAGCAGCAUUCAUUUUAUCAUCAGUUUCCUCAGAAAGUGCCUCCUGAGGCAGAAGGAAAAGCCUCAACUCCAGCAAGAAAUGCAUCCUCAAAGGCAUUUGAGGCUUUCUCCCUUUCGGGCUUGCAUGCUGCCCUUUUUCUUGUGUGGCCAGCAGUUCCAGAGCGAUCACGUAGUGGAUUUUCAGUUUCAAGACGACUCCCUCCAUGUUCUCCAGGAAACGUGCAGCAGAGGAGAGGAGGAUAUGAAUUAGAGAACACUCAGCCUGACAAUAAGCACCCGCAGCAUCUUCACACAAAAGAGACUCAAAACCAAAAAAUCAACUUUAAAAAGAGAUUGAGGC